UGUCCUACCCAAUUUCUAGUCUCUAGAAUAGGUAGGGACUAGAAAUUGGGUAGGACAGA
Molecule: non-coding RNA, 59 nt
Filed under: Sus scrofa (pig)
Lineage: Eukaryota; Metazoa; Chordata; Mammalia; Artiodactyla; Suidae
Source: RNAcentral